UACGUAUGGAGCGAGCGUUGUCCGGAAUUACUGGGCGUAAAGGGCGUGUAGGCGGUACGAUACGUAGCGGUUUUAAGCCUCCGGCUCACCCGGAGGAGGGCGGCUAAACGGUCGCACUGGAGGGCAGGAGAGGUGCAUGGAAUUCCUAGUGGGGCGGUGAAAUGCGUAGAGAUUAGGAAGAACACCAGUGGCGAAGGCGAUGCACUGGCCUGACCCUGACGCUGAGGCGCGACAGCGUGGGGAGCGAACGGGAUUAGAAACCCGCGUAGUCC
RNAcentral lists this ribosomal RNA (272 nucleotides) under uncultured Sulfobacillus sp. RNAcentral's name for it is "partial 16S ribosomal RNA". It matches the Rfam family "Bacterial small subunit ribosomal RNA", at positions 524 to 796 of the family's 1533-position model. Lineage: Bacteria; Bacillati; Bacillota; Clostridia; Eubacteriales; Clostridiales Family XVII. Incertae Sedis. The record is from RNAcentral.